AGGUAGAUAGUUUAAUGGUAAAACCUAGUCUCCAAAACUAGAAGAUGAUGGUUCAAAUCCUUCUCUAUCUG
This 71-nucleotide transfer RNA is filed under the name Crassvirales sp. RNAcentral describes it as "tRNA-Trp". It matches the Rfam family "tRNA". Rfam says of the family: Transfer RNA (tRNA) molecules are approximately 80 nucleotides in length. Their secondary structure includes four short double-helical elements and three loops (D, anti-codon, and T loops). Further hydrogen bonds mediate the characteristic L-shaped molecular structure. tRNAs have two regions of fundamental functional importance: the anti-codon, which is responsible for specific mRNA codon recognition, and the 3' end, to which the tRNAs corresponding amino acid is attached (by aminoacyl-tRNA synthetases). tRNAs cope with the degeneracy of the genetic code in two manners: having more than one tRNA (with a specific anti-codon) for a particular amino acid; and 'wobble' base-pairing, i.e. permitting non-standard base-pairing at the 3rd anti-codon position. The record is from RNAcentral. Lineage: Duplodnaviria; Heunggongvirae; Uroviricota; Caudoviricetes; Crassvirales. RNAcentral also lists the same sequence under 1 other name.